GUUUUAGUAAUUUAAUAAAAAUAUUGGUCUUGUAAACCAAAAAUAAGUAACCCUUCUUUUAAAACU
Molecule: transfer RNA, 66 nt
Filed under: Paranauphoeta nigra
Lineage: Eukaryota; Metazoa; Arthropoda; Insecta; Blattodea; Blaberidae
Description: tRNA-Thr
Source: RNAcentral